This 460-nucleotide ribosomal RNA is filed under the name uncultured bacterium. RNAcentral describes it as "bacterial SSU rRNA". It matches the Rfam family "Bacterial small subunit ribosomal RNA", at positions 28 to 485 of the family's 1533-position model. The record is from RNAcentral.
GACGAACGCUGGCGGCGUGCCUAACACAUGCAAGUCGAACGGAACUGUUUUGAAAGAUUUCUUCGGAAUGAAUUUGAUUUAGUUUAGUGGCGGACGGGUGAGUAACGCGUGAGUAACCUGCCUUCAAGAGGGGGAUAACAUUCUGAAAAGAAUGCUAAUACCGCAUGAUAUAUCGGAACCACAUGGUUUUGAUAUCAAAGAUUUUAUCGCUUGAAGAUGGACUCGCGUCCGAUUAGUUAGUUGGUGAGGUAACGGCUCACCAAGACCGCGAUCGGUAGCCGGACUGAGAGGUUGAACGGCCACAUUGGGACUGAGACACGGCCCAGACUCCUACGGGAGGCAGCAGUGGGGGAUAUUGCGCAAUGGGGGCAACCCUGACGCAGCAACGCCGCGUGAAGGAUGGAGGUUUUCGGAUUGUAAACUUCUUUUAUUAAGGACGAAAAAUGACGGUACUUAAUGA